AGUGAACGCUGGCGGUAGGCCUAACACAUGCAAGUCGAACGGCAGCACAGGAGAGCUUGCUCUCUGGGUGGCGAGUGGCGGACGGGUGAGGAAUACAUCGGAAUCUACUUUUUCGUGGGGGAUAACGUAGGGAAACUUACGCUAAUACCGCAUACGACCUACGGGUGAAAGCAGGGGACCUUCGGACCUUGCGCGAUUGAAUGAGCCGAUGUCGGAUUAGCUAGUUGGCGGGGUAAAGGCCCACCAAGGCGACGAUCCGUAGCUGGUCUGAGAGGAUGAUCAGCCACACUGGAACUGAGACACGGUCCAGACUCCUACGGGAGACAGCAGUGGGGAAUAUUGGACAAUGGGCGCAAGCCUGAUCCAGCCAUACCGCGUGGGUGAAGAAGGCCUUCGGGUUGUAAAGCCCUUUUGUUGGGAAAGAAAUCCAUCUGGUUAAUACCCGGGUGGGAUGACGGUACCCAAAGAAUAAGCACCGGCUAACUUCGUGCCAGCCGCCGCCGUAA
RNAcentral lists this ribosomal RNA (506 nucleotides) under uncultured bacterium. Its description in RNAcentral is "partial 16S ribosomal RNA". It matches the Rfam family "Bacterial small subunit ribosomal RNA", at positions 29 to 523 of the family's 1533-position model. The record is from RNAcentral.